This 442-nucleotide ribosomal RNA is filed under the name uncultured bacterium. RNAcentral's name for it is "partial 16S ribosomal RNA". It matches the Rfam family "Bacterial small subunit ribosomal RNA", at positions 338 to 795 of the family's 1533-position model. The record is from RNAcentral.
CCUACGGGAGGCAGCAGUAGGGAAUCUUUCACAAUGGGCGAAAGCCUGAUGGAGCAACGCCGCGUGCAGGAUGAAGGCCUUCGGGUUGUAAACUGCUUUUAUAAGCGAGAAAUAUGAUGGUAACUUAUGAAUAAGGCUCGGCUAACUACGUGCCAGCAGCCGCGGUCAUACGUAGGAUCCGAGGAUGAUCCGGAGUGACUGGGUGUAAAGAGUUGCGUAGGUGGCAUAAUAAGUAGCUAGUGAAAUCUGGUGGCUCAACCAUUCAGACUAUUAGGUAAACUGUUAAGCUCGAGACCGUUAGGGGUAACUGGAAUUUGUAGUGUAGGAGUGAAAUCCGUAGAUAUUAGAAGGAACACCAAUAGCGUAGGCAGGUUGCUGGGACGGUUCUGACACUAAGGCACGAAAGCGUAGGGAGCAAACGGGAUUAGAUACCCUUGUAGUC